CAGUCGCCGCGGUAAUACGAGGGGGGCAAGCGUUGUUCGGAAUUAUUGGGCGUAAAGGGUGCGUAGGCGGUUUGAUAAGUCAUCUGUGAAAUCUCUGGGCUCAACCCAGAGUCUGCAGGCGAAGCUGUCGAGCUUGAGUAUUGGAGAGGUGAGUGGAAUCUCCGGUGUAGCGGUGAAAUGCGUAGAUAUCGGAAGGAACACCUGUGGCGAAAGCGGCUCACUGGACAAUUACUGACGCUGAUGCACGAAAGCUAGGGGAGCAAACAGGAUUAGAUACCCCGGUAGUCCCUGUCUCUUAUAC
RNAcentral lists this ribosomal RNA (301 nucleotides) under uncultured bacterium. RNAcentral describes it as "partial 16S ribosomal RNA". It matches the Rfam family "Bacterial small subunit ribosomal RNA", at positions 509 to 807 of the family's 1533-position model. The record is from RNAcentral.